UCUUUAGCAUAAUGACCCAAUUUACCGCAGUUAUAGCAUUUAAGGGGAGGUUUUUGCUGACCUGGAUUGUUGUAAUUUUCUCUUAGCUGGAAAUGAUGAUUACCUCUUCCACGGCCACGAUAGUUGCCGGUGCCUCCACAACCUCUGCCUCGGAAACCAUGUCCUCCAGUUUCCGCCACAUUAGAAGAUUCUCCUUUCUCUUUAACUUUAGUAUGUGCCUGCAAUGCCUUCUCUGCCG
Molecule: long non-coding RNA, 238 nt
Filed under: Nicotiana benthamiana
Lineage: Eukaryota; Viridiplantae; Streptophyta; Magnoliopsida; Solanales; Solanaceae
Description: long non-coding RNA (NBEN_LNC020757)
Source: RNAcentral